RNAcentral lists this ribosomal RNA (363 nucleotides) under uncultured bacterium. Its description in RNAcentral is "bacterial SSU rRNA". It matches the Rfam family "Bacterial small subunit ribosomal RNA", at positions 28 to 395 of the family's 1533-position model. The record is from RNAcentral.
GAUGAACGCUAGCGGGAGGCCUAACACAUGCAAGCCGAGCGGUAGAGAUUCUUCGGAAUCUUGAGAGCGGCGUACGGGUGCGGAACACGUGUGCAACCUACCUUUAUCUGGAGGAUAGCCUUUCGAAAGGAAGAUUAAUACUCCAUAAUAUAUUUGAUGGCAUCAUUAAAUAUUGAAAGCUCCGGCGGAUAGAGAUGGGCACGCGCAAGAUUAGCUAGUUGGUGAGGUAACGGCUCACCAAGGCAAUGAUCUUUAGGGGCCUGAGAGGGUGAUCCCCCAACUGGUACUGAGACACGGACCAGACUCCUACGGGAGGCAGCAGUGAGGAAUAUUGGUCAAUGGGUGCAAGCCUGAACCAGCCAU